GCGACGACGUCGUUUCGCUCUUAACGAGCCAAAGUUCGAUGAAAUACGAGCACAUUGAAUGUUGCAACCAACGAGUCACAUAAAAGGGCGCAGAUCAUUGUGGCGGUUUUCAAAUGGACCACCCGAAUUUUUUGGGGUUAUGCCAAUCGUUUUUGUUAUCGAAUCAAAUAACUAAGCCAAGCGAGGAGCAACAGGUUAAUCCAUUAAGUACACAGAAAAC
Non-coding RNA from Caenorhabditis elegans, 220 nucleotides. The record is from Ensembl. Lineage: Eukaryota; Metazoa; Nematoda; Chromadorea; Rhabditida; Rhabditidae.